Toxorhynchites rutilus septentrionalis is the source of this 3695-nucleotide long non-coding RNA. RefSeq lists it as uncharacterized. Lineage: Eukaryota; Metazoa; Arthropoda; Insecta; Diptera; Culicidae. The transcript has 6 exons. The record is from RefSeq and is a predicted model, not a curated record.
AAGCUCAAUGCCAUCAUCAAUGAACAUAGUUUUUACUUUGUCAAACAUCUAUCAACUGAUUGUUUAGAUUUCGUUUCAAAACGUUUUUUUUUUUGGACAAAGCGUGAAUUCGCGAUGAAAAAGUGCCGACGUCUGAUGGCGACUUUCAAUUAGGGACAAGAUUUUUUCACCACCUGCAAACAAAUAUUUUUCAUUUAAACAGAAUGCCAAAUUGACGUCUCUUCAUUGAAAACGAAUGAUUUCAAUAGAUCUUUAUUUUGCUUAAUCGGGCAUUUUCAACGCACGAAGACACAAGCACGGAUAAAAAAGCAGAUUCGCUGGAAAUUGGAGAAAUAAUCCCGGUUGAAGCAUCAUCACAUUCGUUUUUAUACCGGUCCCACAACGAGUGGUGCAUACAUUUGGAGCUUCUACAUAUCUACAAUAUCUCCCGUAACGGCUCGUGAUCUGCGUGUUUUAACGGAAUAUUUUAGAUGUACUAUUACUCCGGCACUUCCACCCUCAGUGGCCAGUCGCAUCCCAGAAAGACGGGUGUCGCGUCCCUGUACUGAGUCCAAAUCGUACGCUGAAACGCCAGAUAGUGUUGCUACCAGCUAAAGCUAAUGAUCGUUCGUUCAAUGGUGCUGCUGCUGCAGCUGCUACUGCCGCUCCAGCCAAAGGACUGUCCAAAUAUGAGGAUGACCAGUGUAUCGUAUCAAAAAUUGACAGUCGCAGAAAUUUUGAAACGGGAACAAGGUUUGAAGAAUCUUCAGGAAGAACUUCGCAACGAAGAAACUAUUGAAGAAGUUGAAACUAGGAUUGGGCGAUCUUUAUAAAAAGAUCGAUCUUAUCGAAUCGAUUUUCCAAACGGCUUAGGAAUCGAUCAACUGAUUAAAUCAGUACUAAAGAAUCGAUCUUUGCUGAAUCGAUCUUUACCGAAUUGAUUUUUGAAAAAUUAAAAGCUUUUUUUUUUGAAUAUGCAUGUUCUAUAUGAAUGUCGUCUUUUCUUUGAACAGGGAAUACAAAUUUCAUAUUUUUAUUUGAAUAUCAAAAGCAUUUUGUUUUGGUUCUCAGCAUGAAGGCCAUAGCCACAGGGCAUCCAUCUUGUGCUGUCAGGUAGUCGUUUUAUUAAAUAAAUUAAUUGAAAAUAAUUAGAAAUUCAACAACUGCCCAAAACUCAGCUGACAAUAAGAGCCAAUCGUGCCAUACGUUUGUCAUUUAGUCGAAGCCGAUUCUUAAUUUUGGCGCCAGGCUCAGAAAACAACCUUUCGCCUGUAAGGGAUGUCAACAUCAGGUUUAGUGAUCCUAUGCGCAAUCGUUUACAGUUCAUCCCCUCAGUAACUGCUACUAGUUCCGUCUUUGUCAGCAUUUGAACAGAAAUAAAUCGUAGAAGAGGCACUCCAAAUGUUGACAUUAUGUUCAAAAAAAUGUUGACAUUUGGUGACAUUUGGUGAUAUAAAAAACAAAUUUACAAAAAGAUCGAAAAGAACGAAAGCAACAAAAUCGAUUUUCUCGAUUUUAUCGAGUACAAAAAAUCGAUCCAAAAAAUCGGAAAUUGGAAUGGAAAAGAUCGAUCUUCUAAUAAUCGAUCCGAGAUCGCCCAAUCCUAGUUGAAACAGUCUAAAUACGUAAUGAUGAAAGAAAAUUUCAUCGUGACUUCAAGUAAUACAAACAUGAACAACCCUCGAGCUUCGAUACCAGUCCCCUAACGAAAGGGUUACUCAGUGCGGUCGCAUUUCCAGCUCAUUCGAAAAACAUAAAGUCAGUUAAUACAAAUCCAGUCAGUUGUUGGUCGCCUAUCAAUAUCGCGAAACUGCUUCAACGUUUACUUUUACAUCCGGGAGGUACCUUCUAUACCGCGACAUAUGUUACCUAUUGGAGCAAUCCGAACAGGGUCCAAUCUAAUCAUCACACCGUCAGUGACGAUAACUCCCACGAGUGCACCUUCGAAUAGUGUAAAACUCAAAGCACUCUGAUAUCAGCUGGAGAAAACCUUGCUAUAGAUCCCACCGCUCACACCCAAAAUGUACUUCAUUCCGAAUGGAUGCUGAGGUGGCUGUUGGGAGGAUAUACAAUAAUUCCGUGGAUUAGUCAAUGAGCUAUUUUAGAAGAAAACAAUACGACGUUCUUAUAGAAGAUUAUUAUAAUGAAUUUUCCCGGAGAUCCUUCCAGCUGUGGGGACAGAAGGUGGAUGUCGUCUUUUGCACAUCAAUUACAAUUUGUCGUUCGGAUUUCUCCCUGCGGCACGAACACAUAUAUAUUUUGGAUCUACAACACAAGGUUCUAGAGGACAUCCGUGCAAGAACAUGCAAAGCAAGGAUUGUUAUAGUGAUACACUUUCUCAUUUGGAAGAGAAAUUCUGUGAGUGCGCGUGCGAAUGUGUUUUUACGAACAGGAAACCGAUGAAGGGGCAUUCUCUUGAAAUUACGCAAUAUUUUCACGCAUUUUUUCUGAGCGCAUCAGUUGCGUAAAAAAUGAAGUGAUACUGAUAGCAACUGCAUGUGUAAUUACUGGAAAGGUUUGCCGACCAACAUACCUAUUAGUAAACUUGAAGUAUGGAAAGUAUCGUGUUUGGGCAUGUGUGCUUCGAGUUUGGCGUCGAUUUACCACCGCUCGAGCAGAAGCGGCCGAGGUCACGGUAAAACCUUCCGGAGUAAAAGGUUCAUUGCACUGAUUCACAUACGAACAAAUGUUGAUGGUUUAGAAAGGAUACCAAGAAGGAUAAGCUAUGCUCUUGAGUAACAUUGAAUAUGAUGAUGUGUAUGAACAUCCGGAUGAGGACGCUGAGGACCGGCAAAUGUUCUCGAUACGGUCGAGAUGCGAGCGGGAAGAAAUAUUGCAGAAUUUAUUAGAAAAUUAUUUCGCUAUUUCGCAAAACCGAUGGGUCGGAAUAAGGUGAUCAAUGUAAAGUUCAGCGAGGAUGAUAGCGAAGAGAAAAAUCUAUAGACCAGAAAAAAGAGUUAGUGAAAAAAAUUGUUCAUUUAAGUACGUUAAACGUUCUUAAUUCAAGCAGUAACGACACUGAUUUGCUCAUUGAUUAGUAAUUGAGCUGCUAUUUGGAUGAAUAAGAGUGAACAUACUAUUUCGUAAAUUUACAUGUACAUAUUUAAUAGAAUUAUGUAUUUAAAUAGAAGUAAACUUUUUUUAUAUAAACAUAUGUAUUUCAGUAUUUUGCGGAUAAUCGGAAUAAUUAUCUGAAUAAAUAUUGAUCGUAAUGACCUGAAUAUUCAUUUUCGACAUUCAAGAUUUUAUUUAUUCCUAGAGAUGAUUCUAGUUUAAUGAUUGAAAAAUAUACUGUAUACUGGUAUACUUGCACUCUCAGUGGCCGAACGAGAAGAGAAUGGAUGGAGUUCAGGCAGCUACAAACCCCCCAGUGACUGUUCUCCCGACGGGAGAAAAAAUCAACUGAUUGGUCAUUGGCGGAGGCUAUGAUAAACUCAAAAAUAUGGUAGGAGUGAUCCGACCGACACCCGCCCGUGUUCGAAGUUACCGACGCGACAGACUUCGUAGGAACCGAAUUCAGAUGCCAAUUGCUCAGCAAUAAAAUUAGAAAAAAAAGGAGAAACAUAAAAAAAAGCCUUCUGCAUGCUCACACAAAAACCGAAAAAGGGUAGCAAACAUUCUAUGGUUUCAUUUGUGUAUGUGCUAUCUAGGGUAUAUCGAUAACCAAAAAGCCUUGAAGGAUAGAGUCGCUAGGUGAAUGAACAAAUAACAUUUGA